RNAcentral lists this ribosomal RNA (675 nucleotides) under uncultured marine eukaryote. RNAcentral's name for it is "SSU rRNA". It matches the Rfam family "Eukaryotic small subunit ribosomal RNA", at positions 617 to 1295 of the family's 1831-position model. The record is from RNAcentral.
GGUUAAAAAGCUCGUAGUUGGAUUUCUGUUGAGGAUGACCGGUCCGCUCUUUGAGCGCGUAUCUGGUUCAGCCUUGGCAUCCUCUUGGGGAACGCUACUGUGCUUGAUUGCAUGGGGCGGUAUUCAAGACUUUUGCUUUGAGGAAAUUAGAGUGUUCACUGCAAGCGUUAGCAAUUGAAUACAUUAGCAUGGAAUAAUAAUAUAGGACCUUGGUACUAUUUUGUUGGUUUCUAGAACUAAGGUAAUGAUUAAUAGGGACAAUUGGGGGCAUUCGUAUUAACGCGUCAGAGGUGGAAUUCUUAGAUUGCGUUACGACGAACUACUGCGAAAGCAUUUGCCAAGGAUGUUUUCAUUGAUCAAGAACGAAAGUAUGGGGAUCGAAGACGCUUAGAUACCGUCGUAGUCUAUACCAUAAACUAUGCCAACUAGAGAUUGGAGGUCGUUCUCUUUAUGACUCCUUCAGCACCUUAUGAGAAAUCAAAGUCUUUGGGUUCCGGGGGGAGUAUGGUCGCAAGGCUGAAACUUAAAGGAAUUGACGGAAGGGCACCACCAGGAGUGGAGCCUGCGGCUUAAUCUGACUCACCACGGGAAAACUUACCAGGUCCAGACAUAGUAAGGAUUGACAGAUUGAUAGCUCUUUCUUGAUUCUAUGGGUGGUGGUGCAUGGCCGUUCUA